UGGUCAAGUUAUUAAGGGUGCAGGGCGGAUGCCUUGGCACUAGGAGCCGAUGAAUGACGUGAUAAGCUGCGAUAAGCUUCGGGGAGUUGCACGUAAACUUUGAUCCGAAGAUUUCCGAAUGAGGAAACUCACUUAGAGUAAUGUCUAAGUAUCAUUAAGUGAAUACAUAGCUUAAUGAGGGGAACUCAGGGAACUGAAACAUCUAAGUACCUGAAGGAAGAGAAAGAAAUUCGAUUCCGUAAGUAGCGGCGAGCGAACGCGGAUUAGCCAAAACCAAUAAAGUUUUCUUUAUUGGGGUUGCGGACAUAUCAUAACGAAGAGAUAUCGUAAUUGAAGAGGUUUGGAAAGACCCACCACAGAAGGUAAUAGUCCUGUAUGUUAAACGAGAAGACUUUAGAUAUGAUCCAGAGUACAACGGGACACGAGAAACCCUGUGGGAAGCGGGAGGG
This 449-nucleotide ribosomal RNA is filed under the name Clostridioides difficile. RNAcentral's name for it is "bacterial LSU rRNA". It matches the Rfam family "Bacterial large subunit ribosomal RNA", at positions 1 to 451 of the family's 2925-position model. The record is from RNAcentral. Lineage: Bacteria; Bacillati; Bacillota; Clostridia; Peptostreptococcales; Peptostreptococcaceae.